Silurus meridionalis is the source of this 486-nucleotide long non-coding RNA. RefSeq lists it as uncharacterized. Lineage: Eukaryota; Metazoa; Chordata; Actinopteri; Siluriformes; Siluridae. The transcript has 4 exons. The record is from RefSeq and is a predicted model, not a curated record.
CUGCAUCAGGCAAUUAACGUAUUUGCAGCCCCGCUCACUUUGGACUACGGCAUCAUCGUUUUCACCAAGUUUUUUCUAUUUUCUUGGAUUUAACCUCAACCACAGGUCGUCUUCAGUUACUUCGGGUGCUGAUCCAGCAGUCUGUGGACCUCAGAGGACUCCAGAAACCUAUAGAUCUGCCACAGAACAGCUGGAAAGAGAAGACGUGUCAGAAGUACAGGGGAUAAAGUUCAGAUAUGGCUGAAUCACAGCUGCUAAAGAACAUAGGGGAUGCGAUAGCAGGAGUGCUUCCGGACCUUCCUGAUCAACUUGUUAAGUCCAUUGAAGAUACUUUGAAAACACUUGGUGCGGCAACCACAGAUGAUUUAAAGUACAUCACAGAAAACGAUUUGCUGCCAGUGUUAAAGCCCAUACAAGCCCGAAGACUGGUUGCUGCCUGGACCCAAAAUAUCUCCGGGGGCCAGUUGUUCAAAAAGUUUAAUCUGG